Molecule: long non-coding RNA, 309 nt
Filed under: Urocitellus parryii (Arctic ground squirrel)
Lineage: Eukaryota; Metazoa; Chordata; Mammalia; Rodentia; Sciuridae
Description: lncRNA (ENSUPAG00010014235.1)
Source: RNAcentral
UUAUUUUUUUUUUCUCUCCCUUUUGUUUCCAACGCCUGCCCCUGGCUCAGCGCCCAGUGCCAACAGAACACCUUUCAGGAUUCACAGCAACGCAGACAACCAGAGGCUGUGUGCAAUUGCAAUCCAAGAUGUUAAAAGUGGAGUCCAGGAUCCCGGCCUCUGCUUGGAACGAAACAGUGUCAUGGCGGAGACGACGGCCUUUGUCUUGCUGGGUGUGAAAACAUCCGCUGUGCUGGCUCCACUGCAGCAGAAUCAAGUUUAAARGAAAAAAAGUGAUUAAAGUCAGCUUUGUGCCUCUUUGGUGUGGAA